Molecule: ribosomal RNA, 486 nt
Filed under: uncultured bacterium
Lineage: Bacteria
Description: partial 16S ribosomal RNA
Rfam family: Bacterial small subunit ribosomal RNA
Source: RNAcentral
AUUGAACGCUGGCGGCAUGCCUUACACAUGCAAGUCGAACGGCAGCACGGGUGCUUGCACCUGGUGGCGAGUGGCGAACGGGUGAGUAAUACAUCGGAACAUGUCCUGUAGUGGGGGAUAGCCCGGCGAAAGCCGGAUUAAUACCGCAUACGAUCUACGGAUGAAAGCGGGGGCCCUUCGGGCCUCGCGCUAUAGGGUUGGUCGAUGGCGGAUUAGCUAGUUGUUGGGGUAAAGGCCUACCAAGGCGACGAUCAGUAGCUGGUCUGAGAGGACGACCAGCCACACUGGGACUGAGACACGGCCCAGACUCCUACGGGAGGCAGCAGUGGGGAAUUUUGGACAAUGGGCGAAAGCCUGAUCCAGCAAUGCCGCGUGAGUGAAGAAGGCCUUCGGGUUGUAAAGCGCUUUUGUCCGGAAAGAAAUCCUUGGCCCUAAUACGGUCGGGGGAUGACGGUACCGGAAGAAUAAGCACCGGCUAACUACGUG